RNAcentral lists this ribosomal RNA (223 nucleotides) under uncultured eukaryote. RNAcentral describes it as "partial 18S ribosomal RNA". It matches the Rfam family "Eukaryotic small subunit ribosomal RNA", at positions 1208 to 1456 of the family's 1831-position model. The record is from RNAcentral.
GGAAAACUUACCAGGAUAAGACAUAAGAAGGAUUGACAGAUUGAUUGUUCUUUCUUGAUGUUGUGGGUGGUGGUGCAUGGCCGUUCUUAGUUCGUGGAGUAAUCUGUCAGGUUAAUUCCGUUAACGAACGAGACCUUGUCUUGAUAAUUGAACAUUAUGUACAACAUAUUUGUUACAUUAUAAGGACUAUGUGUGUUUAACACAAGGAAGUUUAAGGCAAUAA